This 87-nucleotide transfer RNA is filed under the name Gammaproteobacteria bacterium. RNAcentral's name for it is "tRNA-Leu". It matches the Rfam family "tRNA". From Rfam's summary of the family: Transfer RNA (tRNA) molecules are approximately 80 nucleotides in length. Their secondary structure includes four short double-helical elements and three loops (D, anti-codon, and T loops). Further hydrogen bonds mediate the characteristic L-shaped molecular structure. tRNAs have two regions of fundamental functional importance: the anti-codon, which is responsible for specific mRNA codon recognition, and the 3' end, to which the tRNAs corresponding amino acid is attached (by aminoacyl-tRNA synthetases). tRNAs cope with the degeneracy of the genetic code in two manners: having more than one tRNA (with a specific anti-codon) for a particular amino acid; and 'wobble' base-pairing, i.e. permitting non-standard base-pairing at the 3rd anti-codon position. The record is from RNAcentral. Lineage: Bacteria; Pseudomonadati; Pseudomonadota; Gammaproteobacteria.
GCCGGGAUGGCGGAAUCGGUAGACGCAGUGGACUCAAAAUCCACCGCUGGUAACAGUGUGCGAGUUCGAGUCUCGCUCCCGGCACCA